UACGUAGGGGGCAAGCGUUGUCCGGAAUCAUUGGGCGUAAAGAGCGCGUAGGCGGUCCGGUAAGUCCGCUCUGAAAGUCCGGGGCUCAACCCCGGGAGGCGGGCGGAUACUGUCGGGCUAGAGUCCGGAAGAGGCGAGUGGAAUUCCUGGUGUAGCGGUGAAAUGCGCAGAUAUCAGGAGGAACACCAAUGGCGAAGGCAGCUCGCUGGGACGGUACUGACGCUGAGGCGCGAAAGCGUGGGGGGCAAACAGG
This 253-nucleotide ribosomal RNA is filed under the name uncultured bacterium. RNAcentral's name for it is "partial 16S ribosomal RNA". It matches the Rfam family "Bacterial small subunit ribosomal RNA", at positions 524 to 776 of the family's 1533-position model. The record is from RNAcentral.